Molecule: transfer RNA, 54 nt
Filed under: Steinernema glaseri
Lineage: Eukaryota; Metazoa; Nematoda; Chromadorea; Rhabditida; Steinernematidae
Description: tRNA-Val
Source: RNAcentral
AGAUUUUUAGUUUAAUUAGAAUAUUUCACUUACAAUGAAAAGGUUAAAAAUCUU